RNAcentral lists this ribosomal RNA (578 nucleotides) under uncultured bacterium. RNAcentral's name for it is "bacterial SSU rRNA". It matches the Rfam family "Bacterial small subunit ribosomal RNA", at positions 102 to 694 of the family's 1533-position model. The record is from RNAcentral.
ACGGGUGAGUAACACGUGAGUAACCUGCCCCAGACCCUGGGAUAACCCCGGGAAACCGGAGCUAAUACCGGAUAUGACACCAACCUGCAUGGGUAUGGUGUGGAAAGUUUUUCGGUCUGGGAUGGACUCGCGGCCUAUCAGCUUGUUGGUGAGGUAAUGGCUCACCAAGGCGACGACGGGUAGCCGGCCUGAGAGGGCGACCGGCCACACUGGGACUGAGACACGGCCCAGACUCCUACGGGAGGCAGCAGUGGGGAAUAUUGCACAAUGGGCGAAAGCCUGAUGCAGCGACGCCGCGUGAGGGAUGACGGCCUUCGGGUUGUAAACCUCUUUCAGCAGGGAAGAAGCGCAAGUGACGGUACCUGCAGAAGAAGCACCGGCUAACUACGUGCCAGCAGCCGCGGUAAUACGUAGGGUGCGAGCGUUGUCCGGAAUUAUUGGGCGUAAAGAGCUUGUAGGUGGUUUGUCGCGUCUGCUGUGAAAAUCCGAGGCUCAACCUCGGACUUGCAGUGGGUACGGGCAGACUAGAGUGUGGUAGGGGAGACUGGAAUUCCUGGUGUAGCGGUGGAAUGCGCAGA